RNAcentral lists this ribosomal RNA (430 nucleotides) under uncultured soil bacterium. RNAcentral describes it as "bacterial SSU rRNA". It matches the Rfam family "Bacterial small subunit ribosomal RNA", at positions 26 to 460 of the family's 1533-position model. The record is from RNAcentral.
AGAUUGAACGCUGGCGGCAUGCCUUACACAUGCAAGUCGAACGGUAGAGUAGCAAUACUUGAGAGUGGCGAACGGGUGAGUAAUAUAUCGGAACGUGCCCAGUCGUGGGGGAUAACGUAGAGAAAUUUACGCUAAUACCGCAUACGAUCUAAGGAUGAAAGCGGGGGACCGUAAGGCCUCGCGCGAUUGGAGCGGCUGAUAUCAGAUUAGGUUGUUGGUGAGGUAAAAGCUCACCAAGCCGACGAUCUGUAGCUGUUUGAGAGAACGACCAGCCACACUGGGACUGAGACACGGCCCAGACUCCUACGGGAGGCAGCAGUGGGGAAUUUGGACAAUGGGCGAAAGCCUGGAUCCAGCAAUGCCGCGUGCGAGGAAGAAGGGCCUUCGGGUUAGUAAACGUGUCUUUUGUACGGAACGAAACGGUACGUGU